Molecule: long non-coding RNA, 2495 nt
Filed under: Cucumis sativus (cucumber)
Lineage: Eukaryota; Viridiplantae; Streptophyta; Magnoliopsida; Cucurbitales; Cucurbitaceae
Description: long non-coding RNA (CSAT_LNC002608)
Source: RNAcentral
ACCCCUUUGAUGCUAUUAUUUGCUUUAUAUAUGUGUUUUUCUGAAUGGAACACAUUGGGUCAUGGGAGAACAACAGGAAAGCAGCUCUUGAGGCUGAACUAAAACAAAUUGAGGUAAUUAGAAAAUAAAAUAUAUGUAAUGUGUUUAAGUUUUAUUUGUAUAGUAUGUAGAUGCUAUUUACGAUUUUAGUUCUAGAAUUUUAGAAAAAUUCAUUAAAUAUAAACUCACAACCUCAGUGAAGAUUCCAAAAUCUGUAAUUCGAUAUUUCUCUUCAUUGACGGAACUGCUCUUUACAACUAUGUUUUUUUUUUUUUUUUGUCGAUUUCAUUUGGAUUGAUUUUGUAAUGAGAGCAUGAAAAAUUUGAGAAGAAGAAGGGUGAGUAUAUAGAGAAAAUGAAGAACAAAAUAGCAUUGAUACACAAAACAACAUAAGAAAAUAAGGUUGUUAAUUGAAGCAAAGCAUAGAGAAGAAAGGCUGAAGGCAAAGGCAGAGGAAAUUGCUGCCAAACACAGAGCUACUGGAACUGCUCCUAAGAAGAUUUUCAAUUGUUUCUAAUUUUAAAUUAAACCAUAUAUGUUUACAAUAAUUUUAAAGCUGAAAUGUGCUUGAUUUUCUGUAAUGGUAUGCUCUUGUUUCCAUUUCUUAUUGACUUGUUAAAAGUUAAGAUGUUCAAAAAGCUAACCACAAAAGUUCUUAUAUUAGAUAUUUUUUAUCUCUGACAGACUAUCGGUUCCAAUUUGUAGGAACGGUGUAUUUAGGUACUUUAGAACCUCAACUACCUUCAAGUAGAUUGUACAUUGUAAGGAAAUCAUAGUAAGGUAUCCAUAAACAAUAUUCAUCUCUAUACAUUGAAUCUAGGAGAAGAAUUUGUGCAUGUCAUCAUACUCGGGUGUAUAAAGAUUCAGAAUUCAUUUAGAAGUUUUAGUUUUCUUAUUGUAAACAUAUUACGUUGCAUAUCUACAUUUGUGCUUAUUAUUUUGCAUGAUCUUAAACGUCCAAAUCCAAUCACUAAAGUUUGAUUACAUGAUGAAAAUGUGAUUCAGCCUUCAGAUGUAUGAUCAUAGAGAAUUGGGAAGCAUCCAAUAGAAAUGGAGCACGUCAGACAAUAAAGGUAUAUAUCUUAUGAAGGCUAACAACUCAAGAGGAUACCUCUAAUGUUAACAUGUAAAGAAGAUAAGAACAAUCUAACGAUAUAGUUAACAGGUAAUAUUUAUUUCAAAGUAUAUACUCUUACAACUUUAGUUUGUUGAAGUUAUUGGCUUUCCAUUUUUCACUCUUUGAUGAUUUGUCAUUAUUCAAUUUUAGUGGUUAUAUAUGCUAAAACAAACUAUUGAACUGUUGCUUUACGAAACAAGAUAAAUACUUGAAAACAAUCGAUCGAUACCAACAAUAUACCUGCUAGGAUGCUACAAUUUUUUUUUUAUCAUGGAUAGUAUGCUUAUACCGGUUGACUAUUGCUACUUGUGUAAAUUGCCAUGGGUGUUAUGUCUAUACUUAUUGCUAUUGCUAAAUUGCUACUUGUGUAAAUUCUCAUGGAUUUUAUGUUUGUACUCAUUGGUAGAGCUUUUUUUAAAACAAUCCAUAACAUUUUUUUUUUAAUCAUGGAUAGUAUGUUUAUACCGGUUGACUAUUGCUACUUGUGUAAAUUGUAAUGGGUGUUAUGUCUAUACUUAUUGCUAUUGCUAAAUUGCUACUUGUGUAAAUUGUUAUGGAUUUUAUGUUUGUAAAAAUUUUUAUAAGAAACUAGGAGACCUUUAAUUUUUGUCAAGCCAUAAAUGAUACAAGUUGUUCUAGUUUCAUUUUCCUAGUACCUUAAUAUUUCUUGGCUUCAUUAACUGAAGUGGAUUGCAAAUGAAAACUGUCUUCUUUCUGAUAUUUGUAGAUUUGAAAGUGUUUGACUCCUUAAGAUGGAAACUUUUCGGUUCUUGUUGGAUAACGUUUCUUCCAACCUUAGUUUCAUUCAUCUUGAUUAUUACUUAUGAUUACUUAUUCAAUAAUUUUCUUGUUGCUUACUUAUUUAUAUCCAGCUAAAUUUUCUAAAGAGUAAUGAUACAAGAGCUGUAAUUUGUAAAAAGUUCCAAUACUGUAGACCAAGUGGAUGUUAAGGUGAUGCUGUUAUUCUACAUGUGUGCUAUGCUAUGUAGUUGUUUCUCUUAUCGACGUAUGUGGUGAUAGAUAAUGCUCAAUGUUGAAAUUUUCUAUAAGAGUUGUACUCUCUUGUUCUAUGAUGAAUGCUAAUAUUCAUAUUGUCUUUGUAGGUUCAACUGGAGUCGACAACUUCAUGGGUUUACUUUCAAAGUACAUUUUCAGAGACGAACAUUCUCGAUUGGUCGUUUAUGCUUUAGCAGAAAAUCUUUUUAUAUGUAUUUUGAUGUUGUUUAAUAUAUUUUUUUAUUAAGGGCUGAAAUUCCGUACUUGUAAAUUGUUGGAACUUGAUUGGAAAUGUACGAAUAUUAUAAAUUGUAUUAUAGCGUAUAUAUAUUAAAGUGUCGGC